UCUUAAAGGCUCCGCCUUUGCGUUGAGAUUUCCCGCACGGGAACUCUCCAAACCCAUGGGCGUUUGUCGUGCCUGAACCGCAACACUCUGCGUCUAAAGGACCUCGGCAAGCGCCAGUCAACCGUCUA
Molecule: unclassified non-coding RNA, 128 nt
Filed under: uncultured Leotiomycetes
Lineage: Eukaryota; Fungi; Ascomycota; Leotiomycetes
Description: sequence contains ITS2
Source: RNAcentral